Long non-coding RNA from Malania oleifera, 688 nucleotides. RefSeq lists it as uncharacterized. The transcript is spliced from 2 exons. The record is from RefSeq and is a predicted model, not a curated record. NCBI's taxonomy places the organism in Eukaryota, Viridiplantae, Streptophyta, Magnoliopsida, Santalales, Ximeniaceae.
CACAUAUCAUCCCGUCUAUAAAAGAGAGAACACCGCGCACAUACAAUUGAAGAAGAGGAAGAACCGAACAGCACCGGAACAAAGGAAGAAGGCCGGCGUGCGCAGACGACCCAGUUUAUUACCCGUCGAGAUGGGAAUUUGGUUGUACAAUGUUAUAAAUCUCUCAAGGAGCGGUGUGAUGUUAGAGAAAUCACUAAGAAUUCGACAUAUAAACACGAUCACUGACACAGUUGAUACCGUCACCGGAUACCAGAACGAUGCUUGGAUUUUCUACCAUGAUGGAGGGAGGACUCGUGUGAUCGUGUACGAUAAUGGCAACUGGGGAUUGGUGAUUCAGCUUAGGCGUGAUGGUACUGAAGACUUAACUAGAACGUGGAGUAUAAAUAACAAUUGUACACGCUAUAAUUUUGUUUUUGAGCCGACUAAAAUUUGGUUUUACUCUUCGGAUUAUCCAUUGUCGUUGGACGGCGUGCAGCACCAAGCAUGGGUUAUUCAAAUUCAAAGGAAUUGGAGAUGGGAGGCGUACAAUGUGAAUACCACUAGAUUUUUAAAAGAGUGAUGGUUUAUAUAUUUUCUAAAUCUUGUUCAAUUAAUAGGCUUUAUGCUUGUAAUAAUGUAUCCUGUAGUUGGUGAACUAUGAAAAAAAUUUGAAGUAAUAAAAUGCAAUUUUUAUUGCAAGUUUCCUUCA